GUGGGGAAUAUUGGACAAUGGGGGAAACCCUGAUCCAGCCAUGCCGCGUGUGUGAAGAAGGCCUUCGGGUUGUAAAGCACUUUAAGCAGGGAGGAAAGGGUGUUGGCUAAUAUCCAGCAUCAUUGACGUUACCUGCAGAAUAAGCACCGGCUAACUUCGUGCCAGCAGCCGCGGUAAUACGAAGGGUGCAAGCGUUAAUCGGAAUUACUGGGCGUAAAGCGCGCGUAGGUGGUUUUGUAAGUUGGAGGUGAAAUCCCCGGGCUCAACCUGGGAACUGCCUCCAAAACUGCAUGACUAGAGUACGGUAGAGGGUAGUGGAAUUUCCUGUAUAGCGGUGAAAUGCGUAGAUAUAGGAAGGAACACCACUGGCGAAGGCGACUACCUGGACUGAUACUGACACUGAGGUGCGAAAGCGUGGGGAGCAAACAGGAUUAGAUACCCCAGUAGUCC
RNAcentral lists this ribosomal RNA (450 nucleotides) under uncultured bacterium. RNAcentral describes it as "partial 16S ribosomal RNA". It matches the Rfam family "Bacterial small subunit ribosomal RNA", at positions 354 to 796 of the family's 1533-position model. The record is from RNAcentral.